RNAcentral lists this unclassified non-coding RNA (303 nucleotides) under plant metagenome. RNAcentral describes it as "partial contains 5.8S ribosomal RNA, internal transcribed spacer 2, and large subunit ribosomal RNA". The stretch from base 1 to 105 matches the Rfam family "5.8S ribosomal RNA", at positions 50 to 154 of the family's 154-position model. The record is from RNAcentral.
GAAAUGCGAUAAGUAAUGUGAAUUGCAGAAUUCAGUGAAUCAUCGAAUCUUUGAACGCACAUUGCGCCCGCCAGUAUUCUGGCGGGCAUGCCUGUUCGAGCGUCAUUUCAACCAUCAAGCCCCGCGCUUGUGUUGGGGACCUGCGGCUGCCGCAUGCCCUGAAAACCAGUGGCGGGCUCGCUGUCACACCGGGCGUAGUAGAUUUUAUCUCGCUCAGGGCGUGCUGCGGGUUCCGGCCGUUAAAAAGCCUUUUUUACCCAAGGUUGACCUCGGAUCAGGUAGGAAGACCCGCUGAACUUAAGC